UGGGGAUUAUUGGACAAUGGGGGGAACCCUGAUCCAGCCAUGCCGCGUGUGUGAAGAAGGCCUUAUGGUUGUAAAGCACUUUAAGCGAGGAGGAGGGUACUGGUAUUAAUACUACCAGGUACUGGACGUUACUCGCAGAAUAAGCACCGGCUAACUCUGUGCCAGCAGCCGCGGUAAUACAGAGGGUGCGAGCGUUAAUCGGAUUUACUGGGCGUAAAGCGUGCGUAGGCGGCUAAUUGAGUCGGAUGUGAAAUCCCCGAGCUUAACUUGGGAAUUGCAUUCGAUACUGGUUAGCUAGGGUGAGGGAGAGGAUGGUAGGAUUCCAGGUGUAGCGGUGAAAUGCGUAGAGAUCUGGAGGGAUACCGAUGGCGAAGGCAGCCAUCUGGCCUAACACUGACGCUGGGGUACGAAAGCAUGGGGAGCAAACAGG
RNAcentral lists this ribosomal RNA (430 nucleotides) under Pseudomonadota bacterium. RNAcentral's name for it is "Proteobacteria bacterium partial 16S ribosomal RNA". It matches the Rfam family "Bacterial small subunit ribosomal RNA", at positions 355 to 776 of the family's 1533-position model. The record is from RNAcentral. Lineage: Bacteria; Pseudomonadati; Pseudomonadota.